RNAcentral lists this ribosomal RNA (484 nucleotides) under uncultured bacterium. RNAcentral describes it as "partial 16S ribosomal RNA". It matches the Rfam family "Bacterial small subunit ribosomal RNA", at positions 30 to 507 of the family's 1533-position model. The record is from RNAcentral.
AUUGAACGCUGGCGGCAGGCCUAACACAUGCAAGUCGAGCGGAUGAAGGGAGCUUGCUCCUGGAUUCAGCGGCGGACGGGUGGGUAAUGCCUAGGAAUCUGCCUGGUAGUGGGGGAUAACGUCCGGAAACGGGCGCUAAUACCGCAUACGUCCUGAGGGAGAAAGUGGGGGAUCUUCGGACCUCACGCUAUCAGAUGAGCCUAGGUCGGAUUAGCUAGUUGGUGGGGUAAAGGCCUACCAAGGCGACGAUCCGUAACUGGUCUGAGAGGAUGAUCAGUCACACUGGAACUGGGGCAAGGUCCCGACUCCUACGGGAGGGAGCAGUGGGGAAUUUUGGGCAAUGGGGGAAAGCCUUAUCCAGCCAAGGCGGGUGGGUGAAGAAGGUCUUCGGAUUGUAAAGCACUUUAAGUUGGGAGGAAGGGCAGUAAGUUAAUACCUUGCUGUUUUGACGUUACCAACAGAAUAAGCACCGGCUAACUUCGUG